This 478-nucleotide ribosomal RNA is filed under the name uncultured bacterium. RNAcentral's name for it is "partial 16S ribosomal RNA". It matches the Rfam family "Bacterial small subunit ribosomal RNA", at positions 28 to 523 of the family's 1533-position model. The record is from RNAcentral.
GACGAACGCUGGCGGCGUGCUUAACACAUGCAAGUCGAGCGAUGAAGUUCCUUCGGGAACGGAUUAGCGGCGGACGGGUGAGUAACACGUGGGUAACCUGCCUCAUAGAGGGGAAUCGCCUUCCGAAAGGAAGAUUAAUACCGCAUCAGAUUGUAAUGCCGCAUGGCAUAGCAACUAAAGGAGCAAUCCGCUAUGAGAUGGACCCGCGUCGCAUUAGCUAGUUGGUGAGGUAACGGCUCACCAAGGCGACGAUGCGUAACCGACCUGAGAGGGUGAUCGGCCACAUUGGGACUGAGACACGGCCCAGACUCCUACGGGAGGCAGCAGUGGGGAAUAUUGCACAAUGGGGGAAACCCUGAUGCAGCAACGCCGCGUGAGUGAUGACGGUCUUCGGAUUGUAAAGCUCUGUCUUCAGGGACGAUAAUGACGGUACCUGAGGAGGAAGCCACGGCUAACUACGUGCCAGCCGCCGCAGUAA